UUUCCGGUUGAUCCCGCCGGACCUGACUGCUAUCGGAUUGAUACUAAGCCAUGCGAGUCUUUGUAGUAAUACAAGGCAGACGGCUCAGUAACACGUAGUCAACCUACCCUAUGGACAAGAAUAAUCUCGGGAAACUGGGCAUAAUUCUUGAUAGAUCAUAAUGCCUGGAAUGGUUUAUGGUUAAAAUGAUUCGUCGCCAUAGGAUGGGACUGCGGCCUAUCAGCUUGUUGGUGAGGUAAUGGCCCACCAAGGCGAUUACAGGUACGGGCUCUGAGAGGAGAAGCCCGGAGAUGGGUACUGAGACACGGACCCAGGCCCUAUGGGGCGCAGCAGGCGAGAAAACUUUGCAAUGUGCGAAAGCACGACAAGGUUAAUCCGAGUGAUUUCUGCUAAAGAAAUCUUUUGCCAGUCAUAAAACCACUGGUGAAUAAGGGGUGGGCAAGUUCUGGUGUCAGCCGCCGCGGUAAAACCAGCACCUCAAGUGGUCAGGAUGAUUAUUGGGCCUAAAGCAUCCGUAGCCGGCUUUGUUAGUUUUCGGUUAAAUCCAUGUGCUCAACGCAUGGGCUGCCGAAAAUACUGCAUGGCUAGGGAGUGGGAGAGGUAGACGGUACUCAGUAGGAAGGGGUAAAAUCCUUUGAUCUAUUGAUGACCACCUGUGGCGAAGGCGGUCUACCAGAACACGUUCGACGGUGAGGGAUGAAAGCUGGGGGAGCAAACCGGAUUAGAUACCCGGGUAGUCCCAGCUGUAAACGAUGCAGACUCGAUGAUGCAUUGGCAUAAUAGCCAGUGCAGUGUCGCAGGGAAGCCGUUAAGUCUGCCGCCUGGGAAGUACGUACGCAAGUAUGAAACUUAAAGGAAUUGGCGGGGGAGCACCACAAGGGGUGAAGCCUGCGGUUCAAUUGGAUUCAACGCCGGGA
This 917-nucleotide ribosomal RNA is filed under the name uncultured archaeon. RNAcentral's name for it is "SSU rRNA". It matches the Rfam family "Archaeal small subunit ribosomal RNA", at positions 1 to 923 of the family's 1478-position model. The record is from RNAcentral.